GGUCUUAUAUUCAUGUUUGUGAUGCUAGAAUGCAAUUCUAGCGGGGUGGUCAGGUACCACUAAGGUCU
This 68-nucleotide transfer RNA is filed under the name Calcaritermes brevicollis. RNAcentral's name for it is "tRNA-Cys". RNAcentral also lists the same sequence under 1 other name. The record is from RNAcentral. Lineage: Eukaryota; Metazoa; Arthropoda; Insecta; Blattodea; Kalotermitidae.